AUGGAGCACAACCGCGCCUAUGGCGGCACUGCAUUGAAGCUUCGACGGCGGCAUCGGUUGCUGCAAUGGGAGAUGACGGCAGCCGGCGUGGAGCACCACCGUGCGGUGGGGCGCUAUAGUGAAGCAUGCGGUGGUCGUUGGGGUGCUGCGAUGGAGCACCGCCGUGCCGGUGGUGGCACUGCACUGAAAUUUUUCCGGCGGCCAACGAAUACGGCGAUGGGAGAUGCCAUGGCAGCCGGUGCUGCAAUGGAGCACCACCACGCGGCGAGGGGCUGCAGUGAAGCACGCGGCGGCCGUCCGGGUGCUGCGAUGGAGCACGGCCACGCCGGUGACGGCGAGCUUCCCGGGCGCCCGUCGGUGGAGCGUCGCUGCGCUGCCGAUAAGGGGGCACGACUGCUGCUAUCUGCCAGGCGGCGCUGCUUCCUCACGGCGAGUCGACGACAUGGUCGUUGUUUUUUUGCUAUGGCUGUGAUCAUAGAAGAAAGCCCCGUCCGACGUGUUGACUAG
This 507-nucleotide ribosomal RNA is filed under the name Triticum aestivum (bread wheat). Its description in RNAcentral is "partial small subunit ribosomal RNA". Lineage: Eukaryota; Viridiplantae; Streptophyta; Magnoliopsida; Poales; Poaceae. The record is from RNAcentral.